UCAUCAGUGUCAGGGAAGAAGGAGCUGACACAGGUCAGGAGCUGGAGAAGUGAAACUGUGGACAGGGGAUCCAUAGAGCUCGGCUUCCCCACCCAGCACCUCACUACCCGGUACCAAAACUUUGUCUGACCCUGUGCUGGGGACAGAGGGCCUUUGUCCCGGGGUCCCUGAGUCGCUCCUCGAGUCAGGAUGAAAUGCAUGACGUUUGCGGUAAAACACAGGCAGCCUUAAAAUGAAUGUUCACAGAAACAAGUGCUGUCGCAGUCCCGGUGAUUGCAUGGGGCUGCUGUGGACGCCUGCGUGGGAGGUGACUGCAAUUUUACAGCUCUGGUCAAGCCCUUUUGACACACUGUGUCAUGGGUGACUCCUUGCAGGAAGGAGUUCCUGCUCUCCUCUGCUUUCACUUUCUACUUCAGUUAUGUGUGGCUGGGGUUUGGAGACAUCAAGUCAAAACCCACAAAAACAAAAAAUUUUAAACUUGAUUUUUCUCCACACUACUGAACAGGGAUGAAACCUAGAAUCCCCAGUGUGUACCUCUGCCAUGAGAAUCACCCUCUGUCCAGUGUCCACACUGCACAGCCCUGAUGAAACCAGAUCCAGGGUCCCAGAAGCCUUUGACUUCUGGGAUUUUAAGGGUGUGGAAUAAUGGAGGAAGGAACAUGGAAACUGGGUCAGACUGACAUGUGUGCUAUGGGCCCUCUAAGUGCAGACUCUAGAUUUAAUAUGGAAGCUCUCGCAGUGUAAAAGGCAUCAAAAGAAACUUAAAAGAGUAAAUACAUUAUAUAUAAAAAAGUAUGAAUGGUUGGCUGAAGCACUUGUCAAAGAUGGCUCACUGAUAAGACAUGGAUAUGCCUGAUAUUCCUUGGCUUAGUGUUGAUGAAGGGAUUUGAAGGCUCAAGGAAAUUUCAAUGCUGGAGUGUAAGAUGCUGUGUAAAACCUAAUCCUCCACAGUGGGAAGACACACCUUUCACUGAUUCUAUAAGACACAAAGUGGUGACAGGGACACCAGCAUGCUUGAAGAUCUUUGUUGUCACCCUUUUCCUUGAGCCAGACCUCAGGGUUGGGACACUGCUGCUCAGUUGGAUUAAGUAAAGGCAAUGGGUUUAAUUAGGUCCUAAUGUAUCAGUGGCCAAAUGGCAGCAGGGGAGAACAGUGAGCACAGUGAGGGAAUACUGGACCAAAGCAGGGGCAAAACCCAGCUGGGCAAACUCCAACCUGCAUCUCCAUGUGUGAUGUCAAAGCAGUCUUCAGAUCUCCAACUCCUUUUAGCUCUGUUGACUGCUACACCCUUCUCUCUUGGGCUGGGUCCACAGAGCUUUAGCACCUGUCUUUGGGAGGUGUCCCUUGACUGUGCCAUCCCUUCAUGCAAUGGCCUCUCUGGCCUCCAUGUAGGGAUAUUCCUGACACAGCGGGCCUCCCUCAGCUGCUUUCGUUAGCUGCAGAGAGAGAUUCCACAACCCAUGGACCCCUUCUGCCUUGGAAAGGACAAUGCUUUGUUCUCCCUGGAGUAGACACUUUUUCUGGUUAUGGAUUUGCCUUUCCUGCACAUAGUGCUUCUGUCAAAACCACCGUCGGUGGACGACAGAAUGGCUGGCCCACUGCCAUGUUGCUCCACACAGCAUGGCUUCUGGCCAAGGAACUCACUUCAUAGCCAGAGAAGUGGAAGAGUAGCCCACGAUCACAGAGUCGACCAGUUUUACCAUUUAUCUCACCAUUCUGAAGCAGCUGGUCUCACAGAAAGAUGGACGGCUUAUUGAAUACACAAUUACAGAGUCAGUUUCAGAGGUUUAGUUCAUUGUCAUCAUGGCAGGCAGACAUGGUCCUGGAGAAAGAGCUGAGAGUUCUACAUACUGAACCACAGGCAACAGGAAGUGAACUGUGUCCUCACUGAGAGGAGCUGCAGUAUAGGAGACCUCAAAGCCUGAUGGACCAAGACAAAAAGACAACAACCCUCCUGGAGAACUGUCCUCAGUGAAGACCUCCCCUCUGUUCUCUGACUUCUGUGAACCAAGUCCAUCUGCAUGACUGUUGGGGUCACGAGUCUGUCCUAUCUCCUCUCAUAUGCUUUACAAUAAAGUGUCUGCAAGCAGA
Molecule: long non-coding RNA, 2091 nt
Organism: Mesocricetus auratus (golden hamster)
Lineage: Eukaryota; Metazoa; Chordata; Mammalia; Rodentia; Cricetidae
Exons: 2
Source: RefSeq, a predicted model, not a curated record